RNAcentral lists this ribosomal RNA (492 nucleotides) under uncultured bacterium. RNAcentral describes it as "partial 16S ribosomal RNA". It matches the Rfam family "Bacterial small subunit ribosomal RNA", at positions 29 to 507 of the family's 1533-position model. The record is from RNAcentral.
AGUGAACGCUGGCGGUAGGCCUAACACAUGCAAGUCGAACGGCAGCACAGUAAGAGCUUGCUCUUACGGGUGGCGAGUGGCGGACGGGUGAGGAAUACAUCGGAAUCUACUUUUUCGUGGGGGAUAACGUAGGGAAACUUACGCUAAUACCGCAUACGACCUACGGGUGAAAGCAGGGGAUCUUCGGACCUUGCGCGAUUGAGUGAGCCGAUGUCGGAUUAGCUAGUUGGCGGGGUAAAGGCCCACCAAGGCGACGAUCCGUAGCUGGUCUGAGAGGAUGAUCAGCCACACUGGAACUGCGACACGGUCCAGACUCCUACGGGAGGCAGCAGUGGGGAAUAUUGGACAAUGGGCGCAAGCCUGAUCCAGCCAUACCGCGUGGGCGAAGAAGGCCUUCGGGUUGUAAAGCCCUUUUGUUGGGAAAGAAAAGCAGCAGGUUAAUACCCCGCUGUUCUGACGGUACCCAAAGAAUAAGCACCGGCUAACUUCGUG